Molecule: ribosomal RNA, 249 nt
Filed under: uncultured soil bacterium
Lineage: Bacteria
Description: partial 16S ribosomal RNA
Rfam family: Bacterial small subunit ribosomal RNA
Source: RNAcentral
AGGACGAACGCUGGCGGCGUGCUUAACACAUGCAAGUCGAGCGGUAAGGCCUUUCGGGGUACACGAGCGGCGAACGGGUGAGUAACACGUGGGUGAUCUGCCCUGCACUCUGGGAUAAGCCUGGGAAACUGGGUCUAAUACCGGAUAUGACCUGCUCUCGCAUGGGGGGUGGGUGGAAAGAUUUAUCGGUGCAGGAUGGGCCCGCGGCCUAUCAGCUUGGUUGGUGGGUAAUGGCCUACCAAGGCGACG